UGGGGAAUAUUGCGCAAUGGGGGCAACCCUGACGCAGCAACGCCGCGUGAAGGAAGAAGGUCUUCGGAUUGUAAACUUUUGUCUUGUGGGACGAAACGAAUGACGGUACCACAGGAGGAAGCCACGGCUAACUACGUGCCAGCAGCCGCGGUAGUACGUAGGUGGCAAGCGUUGUCCGGAAUUACUGGGUGUAAAGGGUGCGUAGGCGGGAUGCAAGUCAGAUGUGAAAUCUAUCGGCUUAACUGGUAAACUGCAUUUGAAACUGCAUUUCUUGAGUGGUGGAGAGGUAAGCGGAAUUCCUAGUGUAGCGGUGAAAUGCGUAGAUAUUAGGAGGAACACCAGUGGCGAAGGCGGCUUACUGGACACUAACUGACGCUGAGGCACGAAAGCAUGGGGAGCAAACAGGAUUAGAUACCCUGGUAGU
This 424-nucleotide ribosomal RNA is filed under the name uncultured Clostridium sp. RNAcentral describes it as "bacterial SSU rRNA". It matches the Rfam family "Bacterial small subunit ribosomal RNA", at positions 355 to 794 of the family's 1533-position model. The record is from RNAcentral. Lineage: Bacteria; Bacillati; Bacillota; Clostridia; Eubacteriales; Clostridiaceae.